RNAcentral lists this ribosomal RNA (493 nucleotides) under uncultured bacterium. RNAcentral describes it as "partial 16S ribosomal RNA". It matches the Rfam family "Bacterial small subunit ribosomal RNA", at positions 30 to 523 of the family's 1533-position model. The record is from RNAcentral.
AUUGAACGCUGGCGGCAUGCUUUACACAUGCAAGUCGAACGGUAACAGGUUAAGCUGACGAGUGGCGAACGGGUGAGUAAUGCAUCGGAACGUGCCCGAUCGUGGGGGAUAACGCAGCGAAAGCUGCGCUAAUACCGCAUACGAUCUGAGGAUGAAAGCGGGGGACCGUAAGGCCUCGCGCGAUCGGAGCGGCCGAUGUCAGAUUAGGUAGUUGGUGGGGUAAAGGCUCACCAAGCCAACGAUCUGUAGCUGGUCUGAGAGGACGACCAGCCAAACUGGGACUGAGACACGGCCCAGACUCCUACGGGAGGCAGCAGUGGGGAAUUUUGGACAAUGGGCGAAAGCCUGAUCCAGCCAUGCCGCGUGCAGGAUGAAGGCCUUCGGGUUGUAAACUGCUUUUGUACGGAACGAAAAGGUUUGGGCUAAUAAGCUGAGCUCAUGACGGUACCGUAAGAAUAAGCACCGGCUAACUACGUGCCAGCAGCCGCCGUAA